UUGUUGUGGAGCUGACUUACAGUACGAUGCUCUCAACUUUAACCUUUAUUUUUUUUCCUUUUUUAAAGCAUAGAUGUUUAUUCAUAUUGUUUUUUUGAAUGGCUGAGGGUUUUCUGCGCGUAAUUUGUUAAAUGAUGACGUAUUGUUAAUCUAACCAUUUGCGGUCUUUGAAUAACCUAUUCAUCUGACAUUAUCUUAAGGUGGGCUACUUUAAUUUUGUGUCCAAGCUGUUUAGUUGGUAAAUGUUCAUUUUUUUUCAGAUUAUUUUCAAGGAGCAGUGCUCAAAAUGAGCCAAUACUUUUUUGCUUUCAGUGUUCUGCAUUGUCUUGUUCGUUGAGACCAAUAGGGAAAGUUGCUGUACCCUUAAUUAGAAACAAAAAGCAGAUCUUUUCAAGGUAGUGCAAUACGCAUACUAAGAAAGGGAUAAGACACAGAGGAUCUUAUUAAGUUAUUGGAAAGGGUAGGUGUCUCUCUGGCCAAGAGUGAGGAGUUGUUGAUACUGACAUGGUAGACACGAAUUUCACUUUUAAUGCAUACCUAUGAGCACAGAUUUUUGCCUUGGGACAUCAGUUUAAGUAGUAAAGAGGUUGGCUAUGAGUAGGUUAAUCAUCUCAGCCAUUUAAAAGAAAAAGCUUGAAUAAAAUCUUUCUUUCUUUACUAACAUUUGAGAAUUUACUUGGUCGCUGAUUGCAGAUUAUGGAGUGACUUCAUAUGAUA
This 717-nucleotide unclassified non-coding RNA is filed under the name Hevea brasiliensis (rubber tree). The record is from RNAcentral. Lineage: Eukaryota; Viridiplantae; Streptophyta; Magnoliopsida; Malpighiales; Euphorbiaceae.